Small nuclear RNA from Quercus robur (English oak), 101 nucleotides. NCBI's taxonomy places the organism in Eukaryota, Viridiplantae, Streptophyta, Magnoliopsida, Fagales, Fagaceae. The record is from RefSeq and is a predicted model, not a curated record.
GCCCCAACCUUAAGUGCUAUCAAUGAAAUUGUAACAAUCCAAAGAAGAUUAGCAUGGCCCAUCCUCAAGGAUGACACGCAUAAAACAUAUGAUCAUUGAUU